UACGUAGGUGGCAAGCGUUAUCCGGAUUUACUGGGUGUAAAGGGCGUGUAGGCGGGCAUGCAAGCCAGAAGUGAAAUCUGGGGGCUUAACCCCCAAACUGCUUUUGGAACUGCGUGUCUUGAGUGAUGGAGAGGCAGGCGGAAUUCCCAGUGUAGCGGUGAAAUGCGUAGAUAUUGGGAGGAACACCAGUGGCGAAGGCGGCCGCCUGGCCUGUUGCUGACGCUGAGGCACGAAAGCGUGGGGAGCAAAUAGG
Molecule: ribosomal RNA, 253 nt
Filed under: uncultured Oscillospiraceae bacterium
Lineage: Bacteria; Bacillati; Bacillota; Clostridia; Eubacteriales; Oscillospiraceae
Description: partial 16S ribosomal RNA
Rfam family: Bacterial small subunit ribosomal RNA
Source: RNAcentral